AAUUAUGAUUAGAUUUUAUAUACAUUUUAAAUGAUUCAAUUUCGAUGUUUGAUAUAUUUGAUGAUGAUAUAAUGUUUGUGUAAUUCACUUUGUGAUUAUUUGACUAUACGUGACUAUUUGACUACUUGAUUCUAUUUGAUGUAAAUACAUGAUUAGAUACUCAGGUAUGUAUAUAUACUAGUUAAAUAAAUGUAUAUACUUGUAUAAUAUUAUGUGUAGCCUUGUGACAUCAUCACGAUGGUAACUUGUGUACGAGUGAUUCACCCCUUACAACAGUUAGUGCAGGAUUCUAAGAACUCAAGUUGAAGUUCAUUGAGAAAAGGAAAACGUGAUUGUGAGAGACAUUAAUUAUAAUACAAGGACCGUUAGUGUUGAUUAGUGAUCUAGUUUAUCUUUGGAGCCUGAAGAGAAAGAUCUCUUUGAUAUGUAUUGAUGACGUCAUUGGAGUACUCUCUAGGUGACAUGUAUCUUAGUGUUUGACCAGCUCGUGAUCGUUUAUGGGUUAGAGUCUUUUGUAGGAAUUUAUCUUUUUAGCAUUUUAAAUUGAAAAAUUGUAAGACACUUAUGUGAAAUGGAAAUGUUUUAUAUUUGAAAAUUCUUUGAGCAAAAUUACUUGAUGAUUGUUUGAUAUAAGUGAUGCAUAUUAUUGAUGGG
This 654-nucleotide long non-coding RNA is filed under the name Trifolium pratense (red clover). RNAcentral's name for it is "long non-coding RNA (TPRA_LNC014373)". Lineage: Eukaryota; Viridiplantae; Streptophyta; Magnoliopsida; Fabales; Fabaceae. The record is from RNAcentral.